RNAcentral lists this long non-coding RNA (5662 nucleotides) under Sus scrofa (pig). RNAcentral's name for it is "lncRNA (ENSSSCG00050026881.1)". The record is from RNAcentral. Lineage: Eukaryota; Metazoa; Chordata; Mammalia; Artiodactyla; Suidae.
CCAAGAACUCUUGUAUAAUGUUAGGAGGAGCAUAAAAUGAUACAGUCAUUCUGGGGAACUGUUUUGCUGUUUCUUUAUGAAGUUAAACAUACAUCUAUCUCAAGAAACAUCACCUCAAGGUGAUGAAAGGCCAAGAAACAUGACCUUGAGAUAUUUACCCCAGAGAAAUGAAAACAUGUUUUUAAAAAUUUUUUUAAGAAGAAUAGUCAUAGUGGUCUUAUUUCUCAUAGCCCUAAACUGGAAACAACUCACAUGUUCCCUAACAAUUAAAUGGAUAAACAGACUGUGGUAUAUCCAUAGAAUGUCGCUCAACUAUAAAAAUUAAUGACUUUGUGUUGAUACGUGUGAUAAUGUGGGUAUAUCUCAAAAUAAUCAUGCUGAGUAAAAGAAGCCAGAUGGAAAGAAGUGCAUACUGUGCAAGACUGUUUAAAUGGUGACCCAGCCUUCCUCUCUCUUCCCCCCCAACCCUGUCUGCUCUCCUGUUCUGGAUCUCUUAAUACUCUUUACCUCUCUAACCCAGUCUUAUACUUGGCUACCUAUUACUUUUACAGGCCCAAGUCUUAACUCCCCAAGUAGGUCGUAAAUAUCCUAACACAGAGUUGUGAUCAUGCCACCUCAAUACCCUUUACAGCAGUGGUUCUAACGCCACCAUGAAGGCCUCACCUCAUCACUUCAUCCAAACCCACUUACCUCCCAAAAGUCCUGUCUCCAGAUACCACCACACUGGGAAGUUACGGCUUCAACAUAUUCCAUGGCACUUGGGGAACAGUAAAAAAAAAAAAAUUAGCAAUGCCUGAAUCACAUGCCCAGAGAUUCUGAUUCAGUUGAUCUGAAGUGGGACCUAGACAUCUGUAUUCCUUUUAGGUUCCCCCAUAACAUGCAGCCUGAAUUGAGGACCCCUACUCUAUACCUUCCUAUUCAAGGUGAGGUCUGUGGACCAGCAGCAUCAGCUUGUGAGAUUUUCUGGUCCCAUCCCAGAUCUGUGAAUACAACUCUGCCUGGCAGCAAAAUCCGCACCUGCUUCCUUAUGCACCAUAAAGUUUGGAAAAUGCUUAUCUGAAGCAUCAUGCAUAGACUUGCAUAUAGGUAUGAGAAUGCUCCAUCAAUCAAUUCCUCUUGGAAUUCAAAUAGAUGAGCAUUUUGUCAGCAAACCAAGUUUCAGCUUUUUUCAUCUUGGAUGCCUGUCAAGGUGUAGCUCUUACCUACAAAUAAUUGCACCUUAGUGUGAAGAUUUUAUAUAUUGCCUAUAUAUCAUUGUCUGUUCACAAACAAAAAAUCAGCAACUAGACCCAAUGUUAAAAACAAAAUCCUAAUGUUUUUGACAAUAUACUACCACCCCAGAGAGUCCAUCACAAUGAAUGAUUACUUCCUUAGCUUCAGGUAAGCUUUAAAAUGGAUAAUGAAACAGAAGAAGGUACUUGUAUUCCAGCUGCAAAAGAGAAGUGGCACUUAGCACAGAGCAUGAAUAUUGUGUAACUUAUAAAUAAUUCCGUAAACUAGGGAAAGAAAAAACAUACAAGCUUAAACAAAUAGCAGAAAAUUCCUAAUGCUUAAAAUAUGCUUAAGGUUGGGAAAUGAAGAGCUUAUUAUAUCUAAUGCUAUUAUGUUGCACAGUGUACGAGCUUUCAAAAGAUUUGAUUACCGUAAGUAUGCUUAAUACUAAAAACAGAAAGGAAUGCCGUCUUACCUGAUGUUUCAGGAGGCAGUUCAAGGUCUCGUCAUCCAUCAAGAUCAUCAGUGUGGUCUUCAAUACGAAUGUGGCUCAUGAAAGUAUUAAAUGAGAGAUUCCAGGCUGACAGACUGAAAGUGAUGAAUUUCCACUUUCUCUUUUCAGAAGUACCCAAUGGAUAUAUAUAUAUAUAGUUCUUUAUUUUUUUAAGAACUAUUGACUAUGAAAACCUUUAUGUUUAAAAUAUCCUCUGAAUUCAGUAUAGGUGCAUUUUUAAACUCCAGCCUCAAGGAUGAAUUAUGCUUCUGGAGAUUGGUCUCAUUUUCCUUUCCAUCCCUAAUUGAUAACUUCCUCAUUGUUAAUUAUAUGAUUAAAUGGUUUGCUAGUUCAUGGCACCCUUAUAGUCUAUUCACUAAGCUAAAAAUAAAAAGAUGCUCAUCUACCUUCAAUACACAUAUGUAUAUACACACACCUACAAACUCAUCUUUAAAAGAAGGCAUAGGGAGUUCCCGUCGUGGCGCAGUGGUUAAUGAAUCCGACUAGGAACCAUGAGGUUGCGGGUUCGGUCCCUGCCCUUGCUCAGUGGGUUAAGGAUCCGGCGUUGCCGUGAGCUGUGGUGUAGGUUGCAGACCGGCUUGGAUCCCGUGUUGCUGUGGCUCUGGUGUAGGCUGGUGGCUCCAGCUCCGAUUCGACCCCUAGCCUGGGAACCUCCAUAUGCCACGGGAGUGGCCCAAAGAAAUAGCAAAAAGACAAAAAAAAUUUUAAAAAAAUAAGAAGGGAUAAUGUUUUGUAUUUAAAUUCCAUUUCCCAAUGCUUAGGGUUGAUAUUUAUCUAAUUACUGAACUGAUUCAACCCAAAACAUUUUUAUGAAAUUCCUAUUGUAUGCCCAACAGAAAUACAUUUUGAAAGUAGAAAUCUUUUUUCGUAAUUGAAUUAUAGUUGACUUAAAAUAUUAUAUUUAAAACAAACGGUUGUUUAUAUUGGGUAUACAUAAUGAGAAUUUACAUCCCAAUACUGCAAAUUAUUGAAUAAAGACGCUGCUGGUUCAGUAAAAAUCAGUUUAAAAGGACUCUUUCCCAUUAUCUUCCAAAAUAACUUAGAAAAUAGUGGUAUUUCUCUUUUAAGCAUUAUAUAAGAAAUUUGUCUUUACAUUAGUGAAAUAAUGCACAGACAGAAUGUUAAAUUUACUUUUUUCCUUUCAGCAAAAUUGUUUUUCUAUUUUUAUUAAAUUUUAAUGAAAAAUAAUAAAUACACUUCUUAAAAACAGCUGAAACAUUGGAAAAGGAUAUUCAGAGUCCCCAGUGUGGCUCAGCAGGUUAGGAACCUGAUGUAGUCUCCGUGAGGAUGUGGGUUCAAUCCCUGGCCUCGCUCAGUGGGUUAAGUAUCCGGCCUUGCUGCAAGCUGUGGCAUAGGUUACAGAUGCAGCUCGGAUUCCUCGUUGCUGUGACUGUGGCAUAGGCCAGCAGCCACAGUUCCAAUUCCACCCCUAGUCCAGGAACUUCCGUAUGCCACAAAAACGACAAUAAAAAAGAAAGAAAGAAAGGAAGAGAGAGAGAGGAAGGAAGGAAGGAAGGAAAGGAAAGGAAAGGAAAGGAAAUCCAGUGGAAAUAAGCCCACAUCUCUCAGAAAUGUUCAUGCACAUGUAAGUAUAUAUCCUUUCUAUAUAACUCUAUGUAUCAUCUUAUUCCCUGCUUUUUUUUUUUUUCAGAUAAAAGCUUACCAUGUACUCUUCUUUACCUUGAUACUUUUCACUUAAGUAAUUUUGGAGCUUUUUUUUCCAGACCAAUACAUGUAGGUCAACCUUAUUUUCAAUGCUGCAUGCUAUUCCUGGUGACCCCUGAGCAGCUGUCCACUUUAUCUGGAUGGAGAGAUGGCCAGAGGUAGGGGUUUGUACCAAUUCGUGGGUGACCAGAGGUUUUUUUGGUACAUUGGGAGUCUGAGGAAGUGGUUUGCAGAUGAAUCUCUCCAUACCGGUGCCGUCACAUGUGAACGCUCACCAUGGGGCAUCCAGGACAAGGCUCUUAGCAAUCAGUUGGACAGAGUGGACCAUUCUGUGGAUGUCGGUCAGCUCCUUUCCCAGUCACCCUGAGGCUUGUUCAGUAGCCUUAUGUAGAAUGCGGUGGGAAUGGAGGCCACACAUGGCUCAACAGUAUGCACCUGUCCUCACCAAGGCUGUUCUGGCUAUUGUCACUGCUGGAUGCCUAAUCUGCUGACAGCAGAAACCAAUGCUGAGCUGUCAUGUGAGAUCAUUCCUCGGGCAGAAUAGCCAGCCACCUGGUAGCUGGUUUAUUACAUUGAACUCUUUACAUUAUGGAAAAAAAAUUUAUUGGACUAGUAUUGCAACCUGCCAGACUACUAAAAACUCUCGGAUGCUUUAGAAAUGAAGGUUUAAAUCAUCUUCCUAGGAAGGAGCCCCACCCAGACAACUGAGGUGUUGGUUAAAGGCAAAGGGAACAUGGAAUAGAUAGUGGAAGAAGCUCAUUAACAAUAAUUAUUCAACUGAAGUUCCUGUCGGGUGGCUCAGUGGUUAACAAAUCAACUAGGAACCAUGAGGUUGCCGGUUUGAUCCCUGCCCUUGCUCAGUGGGUUAAGGAUCUGGUCCUGCCAUGAGCUGUGGUGUAGGUUGCAGACGUGGCUCGAAUCCCUCAUUGCUGUGGCUCUGACAUAGGCUGGAGGCCACAGCUCCGAUUAGACUCCUAGCCUGGGAACCUCCACAUGCUUGGGAGCAGCCCUAGAAAAGGCAAAAAGACAAAAAACGAACAAACAAAAAAUGAUUAUUAUUCAACUGUUAUCACUAUCAAUCAACUAGGUUUGUUACCAGUAAGUUACCAAAGCAAGAACUAUGGCGGCUCUGCAUAUUUUCUUUCCUUGUUAUGUAUAACAUUGAGUGUCACUGGUGGUUCCCUUUACGAUUUAGUCCUUAGGUUGCAGAAUAUCCAAGGUGUUAGGGUGACUAAAAGAGAAGAGGAAUUGACAUCACUCAGAGGUGAACACAGUGGUUGAGGCUGCCUCCUCAUAGUCGUCACACUGCAUUUCCCCCUUUGGGGACAGACUGAGAGCCUGCAUUCAUUUAUGUGAGGAAUAGAGUUGCAUUCUGUUAGGUAGAAGUAUGAUGUUGGAUGGAUACAAUGGAAUGUGUGAAUAUGAGUUGCAAAAGAGUGGAUGUACUGGAUUGUGUCUCUUGGCUCUUAGGUCCUAAUUCAUCCUCCUACAUAUCCUGAAUCUUCUUUUCCAGACACUCAUCCAGUUGUUUUCUUGUUAGGUUCUUCAAUGGGAGGGAUAGGUAGUAGGUUCCUGUGUGGGAAGAAGAGGUUUCCUGUGCCACUGGCAGCGUCAGGGACAUGCAGCUGGCUUUGACUGCUUGUGCUACAAGCUCCAGAAGCCUGGGGGUAUUCCAGCAACUUUGGCCGCGAGUAUCCAUUCAUAGGAUCCAGCCAAGGGACAGUGGCAGCUUCCCAGUCUUUCAGUAACAGCUGUCUUCUUUCUCUGCUCCUCAGCCCUUCCAGCAUUUUUUAACCAGUUCCCUCCAUUGCAUCCUUCUCUGCUUGAAAUACAUUCAGUGAUUUCUACUCUCCUGUUUGAAUGCUGAGUGAUACAGAGAUCUUUCUGUGUCAGCACAAGGUGAAUUUCCUCAUUCUCUAGUUUUUUGUUCUUUUUUUUUUUUUAAGGCAGGCAUCAUAUUUAUAUAAGAAGACUCAGAUAAUGGAUAUUUAAGUUGCUUUCAAUCUUCUCUUUCAAUCAGUAAGAGCAAUAAGGACAUUUCCAUUUUAAGAAAGUAUCGGGAUUCACAUCAUUGGCUCAGUGGUAACGAAACUACCUAGAAUCCAUGAGGAUGAGGGUUCAAUGCCUGGCCUCUCUCAGUGGGUUAAGGAUCCAGUAUUGCUGUGAGCUGGGGAGUAGGUUGCAGACACGGCUCCGAUCCCCAUUGCUGUGGCUGUGGUGUAGGCCGCAGCUACAGCUCUGAUUUGACCCCUAGCCUGGGAACUUCCACAU